UUCUAGGAAGUGGAAGGCUGAGUCAGGAGACACUGCUAGCUGCCGCCAUGAGAAAUAAGAGAUCAUGGAAGUCCUGGCUGGCAUGUUGCACUUUUAAAUCAUUGCUCUUCAAAGAUAACAAACCGCUAAACUUCUGUAAUAUAUUGGUUGUCAGACACUGACUUGUAACUGACUACUGGAGUGUAAAUCUGAAGGCAGGGAGAAAGCAAAUUGAACUAGCCUUCUAUUCAAAAGAAAACAUCACCUGGGCCGUAUGGAAGCUGAAAGCAUGUGAACCACAGCAAACUGUUGCUGGUGACAAUCUCUAAGAGAAGAAUAAAUAAGAAUACAAUAAAGUUAAUACAAAUUUGAAGAUAAACGAUGCUGAAAGAAGCAAGUGGCUUCUGUCGAAUCAGAAACUGUCAACACAAGUUGAAGACUGAAGAAGAGACAAGACAUCCACAUGUGUCCAUGAAAGUCAUGAUUAAAGAUGUCAUGGGAUCCAGGAGGAGAAAAUUUCAGAUGACUGUUGGACACUGGGGAAAGCUACUAAGCAACACUUGUUGUGGGUCCACUCAACAGGGAACAGAAUGGUUUAAAAACUUGAGUUUGGGGAAUGAAUUAUUAUUAUUAUUAUUAUUA
This is a long non-coding RNA of Peromyscus maniculatus bairdii (prairie deer mouse), 621 nucleotides long. RefSeq lists it as uncharacterized. The record is from RefSeq and is a predicted model, not a curated record. NCBI's taxonomy places the organism in Eukaryota, Metazoa, Chordata, Mammalia, Rodentia, Cricetidae.